CGGACGGGUGAGUAACGCGUGGGUAACCUGCCUUGCACUGGGGGAUAACACUUAGAAAUAGGUGCUAAUACCGCAUAAGCGCACAGUCCUGCAUGGGACAGUGUGAAAAACUCCGGUGGUGCAAGAUGGACCCGCGUCUGAUUAGCUGGUUGGCGGGGUAAAGGCCCACCAAGGCGACGAUCAGUAGCCGGCCUGAGAGGGUGGACGGCCACGUUGGGACUGAGACACGGCCCAGACUCCUACGGGAGGCAGCAG
Molecule: ribosomal RNA, 255 nt
Filed under: uncultured bacterium
Lineage: Bacteria
Description: partial 16S ribosomal RNA
Rfam family: Bacterial small subunit ribosomal RNA
Source: RNAcentral